UGAUUGAAUGAAUGUAAAUGAAUUAUCAUGGAUGUUUAUGUAUCCCUGCCGAGGGCAGGUAUGACGAUUCCCUUCGGGGAUUAGCGGGCCGUCAGACGUGAUGGUUAGGCGGUUCCUCCAUCCGCUGUUGGGAGGAACGUGUCCCCACUUGGGCGGGUGAGGGAUACCACUCCAUCCGCUGUUGGGAGUGCGAUAUGGAUUAUCUCCAUCCGCUGUUGGGAGGAAUCCAUCCCGUGGAAUAUGCCUCUCCA
RNAcentral lists this long non-coding RNA (251 nucleotides) under Musa acuminata (dwarf banana). RNAcentral describes it as "long non-coding RNA (MACU_LNC005260)". Lineage: Eukaryota; Viridiplantae; Streptophyta; Magnoliopsida; Zingiberales; Musaceae. The record is from RNAcentral.